RNAcentral lists this ribosomal RNA (497 nucleotides) under uncultured bacterium. RNAcentral's name for it is "partial 16S ribosomal RNA". It matches the Rfam family "Bacterial small subunit ribosomal RNA", at positions 28 to 507 of the family's 1533-position model. The record is from RNAcentral.
GAUGAACGCUGGCGGCGUGCCUAAUACAUGCAAGUAGAACGCUGAAGCUUGGUGCUUGCACCGAGCGGAUGAGUUGCGAACGGGUGAGUAACGCGUAGGUAACCUGCCUCUUAGCGGGGGAUAACUAUUGGAAACGAUAGCUAAUACCGCAUAAAAGUCGAUAUCGCAUGAUAUUGAUUUGAAAGGUGCAAAUGCAUCACUAAGAGAUGGACCUGCGUUGUAUUAGCUAGUUGGUGAGGUAACGGCUCACCAAGGCGACGAUACAUAGCCGACCUGAGGGGGUGAGCGGCCACACUGGGACUGAGACACGGCCCAGACUCCUACGGGAGGCAGCAGGAGGGAAUCUUCGGCAAUGGGGGCAACCCUGACCGAGCAACGCCGCGUGAGUGAAGAAGGUUUUCGGGUCGUAAAGCUCUGUUGUAAGAGAAGAACGAGUGUGAGAGUGGAAAGUUCACACUGUGACGGUAACUUACCAGAAAGGGACGGCUAACUACGUG